UAAAGCUGGAAUAUCUUGGGUCCCAUCCUUAUCCGAAGGAGGCAACCCGUCCGGUAUGGUCUCGAACACAAAGUCCGGUAGACCCUUAACGGAGUCGGGACCGUUUGACCGGAUUAAACGGUUGUGGUUGAACUCGGUGUUGACAAAGGUUAUGUGGAAGCCCCUUGAGUGAAGAAGCUUGGCUAGCUGCAUCAUGGGGUUAACAUGGCCUUGUGCUGGGUAUGGGACAAAAACUGCAUGCCCUUUUUUGGUUGCUUGUUCUACUGAACUCAUCAUCUCUCUUUCGUAUUUGCCAAAAACUUGGAAAGAGCUCAUCAGUUUUGAAGUCUUUAGUCUUUGUGUAGUGAAAGCUAACUUGACCUUGUGCUAUUUAUAGAAAAUGCGGGGCAACCUUCUCGGAGAGAACUCAAUUCAGUGUUUUUUUUGCUUUGGGUAAAUUACAUAGUAACCCCUCAGGUUUGAUGUUUAUUACAACCCCAUACAACAUCUUUAAAACAUUUCACUUUCAUACCUCAAGUACUACUUUAUUUCAAUAUAAUACAUCCGUUAGAUUUUCUAUCCAUUAAUCUGUUAAAUGCUGACGUGGCUGCCAAAUGUGUGCCACGUGGCAAAAAAAAACAGCAAAUUUUUUUUAAGAUUCAGGUUUUCAAAAAAAAUAAAAAUUAUUUUGUUGGCCACGUGGCACACAUUUGGCCACCACGUGGCACACAUUUGGCAGCCACGUCAGCAUUUAACGGAUUAAUGGAUGGAAAAUCUAACGGAUGUAUUAUAUUGAAAUAAAAUAGUACUUGAGGUAUGAAAAUGAAAUGUUUUAAAGAUGUUGUAUGGGGUUGUAAUAGACAUCAAACCUAAGGAGUUACUAUGUAAUUUACCCUUUUUCGUUUCACUUUAUAGUAUUCAAAUUAAAAAAUGAUAAAUAUAUUCAUUUUUUUCCGCACUCUUCAAUUUGAUAGUUAUAAAUAAAGAAAAGCACGUAAAAAAAAGUGGUGAUAAAUUCACCCUAUUUUUUAAUAAAAAAUUUAGAGAUGUCGGGUCAAAUUAUCUCUACAUCACGUGAAUUUGAUAAUUGAAUAAACUUUGAUUGGAAAGAACCGAACAGAGCAUAUUCCCAAAAUUUUGUUCUGAAGCUCCAUUUUCAAACUUGGAAAAAAAGUGAAACCGAAAAGACAAGAGGUGUAAAAGAAUCUGCUUUGGCUUGUCUCUAAUCACGCUAGUUGUCCUUUUCUUCCCUCCCCUUUAUUUUAUCUCCCUGAACUUUUCUCUACCUCUGUGUCACUUCUUUCUUCCUCCAUCUAUAACACCACCAUUUCAUUUAUGUUCAUGUCCUCUCUCUCUCUCUCUCUCUCUCUCUCUCUCUCUCAAAUUUCACACUCCGUUUUUGAAGGUGUCUAAUCAUUUGAUUUUAGAUUUUUGCAAGUGCAAGCAGAGGAGGAAGGGAGGAUGGAGGGAUAUAUUGUAGCAUAUAUAUUAAGGAAAACUAAUAAAAAUGGCUUGAAAACUUUGAGUUUUAAUGAUAAGGACAAAAUAAAGGGUAAAGUGAAUAGUAUCAGGAUUGACUUUUUAGUGUAAAAAUGUGGUUUUUUCGUUAAAAUGAACAGUACCGAAUGCUUUUCGUUAAAGUUCCCGGGUGAGAUUAUAAUGUGGAUGGAAAGAUAAGACAUUAGGUGGGUUUAGUCAACUCCUUUUUCAAAUGUCAUAACAAGAAACUUUUGUCAAAUGUCCAAUGUUUGCUGGAAAUUAUUUUAUUCACACACCUUUCUAUUAGUCUAAUUAUCCAAAAAAGAGUGUUAAACAUGUUGCUUGCGGGAGAGUAUUUUGGAAUUGGCAUGGUCGAUUUCUUGGUCGUUGCGUGCUCGGAUGACUUUGUCCCUCUUUGGUUGGAAUAUGGUUCUUUCCUUGUUUGUACCCUUGGCCUCUUAAUUUGUACACACUUGUUAAAAGUUGCUUGGCAACUAUUUUCUGUUUUAAUUUUAUAUGAAACUUUGAAAUGAAUUUUUUUUAAAGCUGAUGUUGUCAAAUUGAGGUUAUAGAAUGAAAUGGCAUGUGCUUUGGUGAAUUUUGAGAUGAUAGGUCAUGAGGCUAGUUUCAUGGUUUGAGGGCUCGGAUCGGAUCCAUUGUCAUUGCAAGAGUCGAGUGACCGUGUCCAUAUCGGAAUGCCCCAUAUACAAGGUUUUGAUAUGGAAGUGCAGUGCAUGUUUUGUUACGUAUGAUUGAUUAAUGAGAAAGAAGAGGGAGAAACAAUAAAAACAAAAACUAAAGGACGUGAAUGUAGAGAUUUAAAAUUUGACAUGAUUUUAAAAUUAGAAAAAAGAAGACUUAAAAUGGCUACAAAACAAGUUUCCUUUUAGCACAAGGGAAAUUCAAAAUAAAAAAGUCGAAAUAAAAAGAUUUAAACGGUUGUCACUCAGUACUACCGUCUUGUGGUAGUCUUUUUCAUUUUGAAGUGAGAGGUCUUAGGUUCAAAUCAUGUGAAUGGCGAAUUCGAUACCAAAUUAGGCUACCUAUAGUGUGACUUAGCUAAACUUCAUCUCCUCUUAGUGUAAAAAUAUCGAUGUAAUAAAAAAAAAAGAUUAUUAAAUGUUUGGAUAGCUAUAUCAGGAAUAACUAACAAUCCUAACGGUCAAAACUCAUCUCUGCUUUUCUCUUAUGUACUAACUAAAAAUGUUUUGAAAUUAAGAACUCCAUUCAUCUCAUCCUCUUUGUCUUCUUCUUGUCUUCCUAUUCGCAUAAGCCAACUUCCGGACCAUCUCAUCAAUAUUCAUACCAUUAUUGGUAUAUCGCUUUUCUCUUUUGUUUUUUUUUUUGUACCCAAGAUAAUUAUUGAAUACAAACAAUGAGAAAUUCUAUUCAAACUUAUGUGUUCCUCAUUGACGUUACGCAGCUUUAGCACAACUGGAAUCGAUCCUCACCCCAGCUUCACGUAUUCGCCUCUCUUUCUUAAUACUGAAACUACCCACUCUAAGUCUGCCCGAGUCCAGCAGACUCUAAAAAAGUAAAGGCAGGCGAAUGUAGAAUGAUUAGUGGGAGAGGCUUUGGCUAGAGUGCGGGCAUAAGCUACUCCUUCCAAGAACUCCAGGUUGGGUGCCCAAAGCUUGGGGAAGUACCAUGGCAGCUAUAGCUGGACCAUUCAGGUUGGCUUGUUGAGGUUGGUUUCGAAAGGAGUGCCUCGGGUCAUCUCAUAAAGAAAGGGGCUUGUGGCCACAUCAUCAGAAUUGUGUAGAGCUUCCACCAAAGGGGUCCAUUUAACUUUUACUCCCUUGGACUUAUUAGGGAAGACGUGCUUGUUGAGCCAGUACAACAAGAAGUACAUAUGUUCUUGGUUGUUGUUGGCGUUGAAAGAGGAAGAGCUAAAAUUCUUCUUGACAAACGGGAUAAAACUCGUGAAGGAAAUCCCAUAACUCUUGAAAGUAUAAAAGUUGUAAUCCACGGGAAGGAGGAGACCAGUCGUGAGUGACAUUUAUGACUCUACUCGAAGGCCUCAGCCCAAAGACUUGGGCCAUGUCGAGGAUAGUCGGGGACAUGGGACCCAUCCUGAAAUUGAAGGUAUUGGUGCCCGAAUUCUAGAAAAUGAGAGUUGUGGUCAGCAGUUCAGGCUUGGCAAUUACAGUAGUCUUGGAUAACAUAAUUAGCUCGUAUAUGCCGUUGUUCAUCCACUUCUGCUUGAAGGUAGGCUCGAGCUCGUUUAUCCAUUGCGUCCAGCCUUCAUCCUUCAUUGAAGGAAAGCUGCGACAGUGGUUCGACCACUUGGUUGUCGAAAUGCCAGCCUUGGCAAAAAAUGGGUUUGGGGUGAACCAAUUCGCCUUGGGCAUGUUGCUUUCCACGGCAAUGGGUAUCUUGGAGGUCCAUGCAAGCCCCAAGGAGUGCACUCCUCCCCCUCUUCAAAGAAAAGUGAGGUCUGAAGGCCAGCCCGAGGGUGAUGAAGGCCGUUGAGCAAACAAGCAUAGUGGCAAUCCCCUCACUAGUCUCGCAGGAAUGAGUUCAAGUAACUUUGGGUGCCAUUGGAUGAUUUUAGGAAAGAUAGAAGAAAUUCGAAGGCAUAAAGCAAGAAGGAGUAGAGAAUAAGAGAGUACUAAGAAAGUUGGAAAAUCUGGGAAGUUCUAGAAAUUUGAAGGUUUAAGAUUUCUAAGGUACUUGGCCGAAGGGUUUAAGUGAGGAUUAUAUAGUAGACGAUUAUUUAACGUUUAAAAUUGUGGGUUAGUGCAAAGGUUUAGUUAACAAACGAUUGUUUUAAAAUGGUGCAAGUCCCGAGUAAAAGUAUGUGACGGUUGUUUAAUCAUCAUUAACGCCUCGAUUUACAGACUCAAUAAUGAUUAAAGGGGGCACUGUUUGAGUUAAUAUUUGAAUAUUGGGCUUGAAAGAAAUAAAGCCCAAAGAUGCCAAUUCAAGGAGACUUGCCUGAAACCCAGCAUUGAGCCUAGAGAUAAAUUAAAGCCUUCUCAGCCAGGAUACAAGUUGUGUGUCUAUAAUUGAAGUGACGAGUGAUGAAGACUAACCUACUAUUAGCCAAAUAACACUUUUCAGUGGCAUUGCUAGUAAAAAGUUGAUGACUCACUACCCUCCAAGGGCUUUCGGGCAAGAGUAAAAGCUACAGCAGUCGGGCCAAAUUGUCUAUAAAAGUGAAGACAGGCCCCAGAGACAAGGACACUCAACCAAUCAACAUACAAACUCUGCUCUUAAGCCAGAUAUGCAUUUAAAUCUGAAAUCAACCCAGAUUCAGUCAUUUUAGCGAUAGUUCUUUAGAAAAGCUAUCUCUUGUUUAGUUUAAAAGCUCUGUUAUCCCCCUCAGUGGUGUAGUAUAGAUUCCCUCGUGCAAACUUGUUUACCAUCCAUCAUUUUUUUAGCAUAUACACCCCUGUAAAUUCAAAGAGAAGUAACUGCAAGAGGUUCAAACUUGCCAGACAAGGUGAAAUUUGCCCGAGUCUCUUUGUUUGUUCUCUAAAUUAGUAGAUCUAGUGCUUAAUGUACUUUUCAACAUAUAUUCAAGUCAUUUCCACUUGUUUUGCUAUUUUGAGAGUCCUAUUUGCAUCUGGAUCUGGUUAGCUUAAAGGAUAUGUCAUCAUUAACAGUGAUCUGGGACCAAACAAAUUACUUAAGGGGCUCUGGACUCCCUCCAUUCGAACAUACAAGAUCAUGAACUAAAAGUCCUUGUUUACAAGGCAAGAAAAAGAACUUAAUACAAACUUAACUCAUCUAUGACAAUCCCUUUGAUAACAAGAAGUUUGAGUAACUUGGGGCGCAAGUAAUCAACUUAAAACACACUUGUUCUACAUCUACUAUACUGAGAUAGCAGUGGCAUGCCUUACACUUAGUUAGUUUUGAUUGUGAGCCUCAAGACCUACACCUAAGGCCCCACAAAGACACCUUUCAGAAUUAAUUUUGUUCUCUUAUUGUAGCAUCUCAACAAGUAAGAGUCCGACUACACAUUCAAAGUGCCAAUCUCUUGGGAAGCUGUGCUGAGAUCCAAGGAGCCUUCUCCAAAGAAAUCUUUGCCUUAACACACAUAUUAAUUAACCCAACUCAUUUGAAGUCGCCACCACCAAAACAUGUUCAUAUUGUUCGGUUUAGUAGUAGAUCGAUCGUGCCCAUAUUCGAGUUUGUAUUAAUUAAUAAUGGUAAACUCAUAUUUGCUAGCUUCAUGCAUGUUUCGUAUCAUUGAAUUUGAUUACCGACAAAAUCACCGACAUGCUACACUGAAAAAACAGAAGAUCGCACAACUAGUUGUGAUCACAUGUAUUUGCUCUAUCAUGUCUUAAAAAACACCAUUCCCUUACCGUACACUGUCUUUCCGUACUUCAUAGGACGUGGGAAAACGCGUUUUGCAAAUACUAAUUUUGUAAAGUAAAUACAUAUAUAUACGAUAUGAUACCGUGCAUGCAUUAAUGCUAAUUUUCAUUUUAUUUUAAUUUAGUCACCGACGAUCCUGUUUUGAUCAGUCUAUAAAAUACUAAAUGGAAGCCUGCUUAUUCAAGAAAGUGAAAGAACUUGAGAGUUUGUCUGGUAACAAGUAUAGAAAAAUCGAUCCGAGGGUUUAAUUUACAGAGAAAUUAUAAUGGUGCCUCUUUUCUGGCAUCGUUUCUUGUUCGUUUGUAUAGUUUUGGAGGGUAUUAUCCUCACCAAUGUUGAAGCCAAUGGAUGGAUUAGUGGUCAUGCAACUUUCUACGGGACCAACCAAGACCCAGCCACCCUUGGUAACUCACUUUUAUUUUGAUGAGAAAAUAAUGUUUUUAACUUGUGUAACUCUACUACUUAUUUCUUUAUUAUUUUGCCAGAGUUGUUUGUCGACGCUUUAAAAAAGUGAUAAUGCACUCCUCCAUGAAUGUUCUCUUUCAUGCUUUCACAAAUGAGGAGUGCAAUAUAACUUUUCGAGUGUGCCAAUAAUAUGUUUUCUUAUUAAUUUCUAAUUAUGUAUUCUAAAAAUGUCAUUCUGCCCCACAUCUUUUCUUUUAUAUCCGUUUAUAUACCUAAUAUGUUAUAGGACUGUUAAUAACAAAGGUGCAAAUUUUAGCGCGAGUUAUAAUUUUUUUAUUAACUUUUGCGUACUUGACAUAUGCUCGAAUUGGUUGAUAUGGGCACACCAUUUUCCUUUUGUUUGUGCAAUACGCAGUGACCAUCACUUAAAAUUUUCAAUUAAAAUUGAAUAUUAAUAAUAUUGUCAAUGAUUGCUGGUCUAGUGACAUGCAGUCUUGCUUCACUUUGUUGUAAGAGAUUUUGAUUCAAAUCUCAUAUGCUAUAGUUCAAAGUUUAAAGAAACGAAAUCUUAAGAACAAUAUUGUUGAUUUACAUCAAGUCUACGUAGGUGGUGCUUGUGGUUACGAUAAUACCAUACAUUCGGGGUUUGGAGUGAACACAGCCGCCGUGAGUAGCACACUUUUCAGAGGAGGUGAGGCGUGUGGGGCUUGUUACCAAGUAAUGUGCAACUACAACACAGAUCCAAAGUGGUGCAUUCGAGGUCGUUCUGCGAUGGUUUCCGCCACCAAUUUCUGCCCCCCAAACAACAACGGAGGGUGGUGCAAUUUUCCCCACAACCACUUUGACAUGUCCAUGCCUGCUUUUCUUCGCAUUGCCCGACAAGGCAAUGAAGGCAUAGUUCCUGUCAUUUACAGAAGGUAGCAACAAUAUUUUAUGGCUAAAAUACAUUAUUAGACAACAUAACAAUUCACGAGUUUAUAGCCAGUGCCCAUUCAAAAGUCCUAAUAUAAUAAAUCCCAACAUGCAUGCACUAUUUCCGGCGAACAUAUGCUUGAGGUCUAAUAAAGAAAAUUAUAUAUAUAUAUAUAUAUAUAUAUAUAUAUAUAUAUAUAUAUAUGAAAAAGGAGACUCGAACUUGUGCAAUCUUAAUUGUUGAGUUAUAAUCCAAUUUAAUUUACAUUAUUGAUCGAUGUGUUGAAUUGAUAUAUUAUGAAAUCUGCUGUUGGUAGUCCAAAAAUAUUAUUAUACCGCACUUCUCUUUUAUCAAAGCAUAAGAGAGAAAAUAUACAUGAAUAACGCAUGAUGACAUUUUUAGACUAUUAAUAAUUGCUCCCUAUGUUAUAGAUAUUGUAACUUUCAAGUAAUUUUUGGUGUGACGGUAGUCUGAAACAUUAUAACGAACCUUGAUCAUCCUCUUUGCAAUUAAUGUGUGUAUGGACUAAAGAGUGUCCUGCAAAAGAAGAGGCGGAGUCCGAUUCACCUUGAAGGGACAGUCGAGCUUCAACAUGGUGAUGAUCUCCAACGUCGGCGGAAGCGGGGACGUGAAGGCUGCGUGGAUUAGGGGGUCGAGGAUGAGAAGAGGAACGUGGCUGGCGAUGCACAGGAAUUGGGGUGCAAUGCAAAGCGUGGCAUGCACAGGAAUUGGGGUGCAAAUUGGCAAAGCAGCGUUGACCUUCGAAGCCAGAGACUCUCUUUUAAGCUCACACUGGUUGAUGGAAGAGCACUUGUAUUUUCUAAUGUGGUUCCUUCCACUUGGGGAUUUGGACAAACAUUUUCAUCCCGCAACCAGGCUUGAUCUUAUGUACGAAUAAUUAACUAAUUCAUCAAAACAAGUUGGGAAACAUUAUUGUAUUUGUAUGUUUAUUCAACCUUAGAUAUUAAUAAUUAUAUUAUUACAACUGCAUUUCUUCUUUUGAAUUUUUAUGUACAAAGUUGCAACAUCAAUGUUCACCUGGUUGUGGUUUACUAUACAAAUGUCAUAAAAUCUUAUCCUAUAAGUUGAAUUUAUAUAUGGAAAACAAUAAACAAUAAAUACUUAGAGUUAUCACGUUCCAUUUUAGCCUAAAUAUGGUAGUUAUUACGACAUUCAUGACUUAUCUGUUAUGCAUGAAUCUGAAGCAUAUCGCUUCGUCCACAUGGAGGAUUUGCAUUUUGUACCUGGAAAAUCAAGGUGUAAAGCUCCAAGACUCACAAACUUCCAUUACUAUCAUAUGGACCUCUAUGUUCAAGUCCUUGAUACACAAUUAAAGGAAUUGAAUGAUCGCUUCAAGGAGGUAAACACCGAGUUGCUUCUUUGUAUGGCAUGUUUGAGUCCCGUGAAUAAUUUUGCAUCUUUUGCCAAAGCAAAAAUUGUUCGUCUAGCUCAACUUUAUCCUCAAGAUUUUGAUCGUAUAGACCUCAUGAAUCUUCCAAUUCAACUUGACAAUUACAUUCACAAUAUAAAGAUGCAUAGUGAGUUUUCAUCAUUAAGAGGAAUUGGUGAUCUUGCAAAGGAGUUGGUGAAGACCGGGAGGUGUGCAAACUACAUAUUAGUGUAUAAGCUUCUUACAUUGGUUUUGGUGUUACCGGUUGCAACCGCUUCAGUGGAGAGAGCUUUUUCUGCUAUGAAGAUUGUGAAAACACCAUUGUGUAACAAAAUGGGAGAUCAAUGGUUGAGUGAUAGUAUGCUUGUUUACAUUGAGAGAGAUGUAUUUGCUUUUAUUGAUAAUGAGCCUAUUAUGCGACGAUUUCAUGAUAUGAAACCUCGUCGGCAACAAUUGUAAUUUGUUUAUAUUGAUAAAUUAUGGAAGACAUUACUAUAUAAAAUGAUUUGGUUGUUGCUAUUAUUUUGAACCUUGCACUCUUUUAACUUUGCCCCUUCUCCCGUCAAUUUUUGGCUUUGCCACUGUAUGGAUCCUACUUAAAACUGGCCACCAAACCUCUUACUUUUCAAAAAAGACAACAUUCUAUAAGAGGUAUUGCCAAAAAUAAAAAUUCUAAAAAUUGUUGUAUUGUUGUUACUUCGAUCCAUUAGGCUCGCUAGAUGAGAAUUGGCUCCACUUUUCAUACCUUGCCCACAAUUAUUUGAUCCCCUACAAAGUAAGUGCUAAAAAAUUUCAUGGUAGUUUGUUCAAUGCUAGAAAAAAUUAGUGGAGGGACUUACGAAAAAAUGAAACAUUGUUUUUAACAAGAAAAUUUUAAGAUUAUAUACAACAAAACUUGGGCUCUAUUCAGUUUGGAAUCUGCCGUAUGACAUUGUUGCGAAAUAUACAUAUUCCGCUUUUAAAAGAGAAAGUCUUAAUUACAGCGGCAAACGCAAAAAAAUUAUCUACCUCUCAAUUAGUUUGUAUUUGUAAAUUUCAUUUUCAAGUUUUGUGGAUGCAGAUAUGCACUAAACAACAUACUAAGUCUAAUAUUUGGGAAUAAGAAUCGGAUGUAAUUAAGUUUGUUUGAUAAUAGUUACAUCUAGUCAUGUUGGUGGUAAGUCUUUUGAGUUUAGUGACACCUAUUGUUUUUUAUUUAUAAUUUGCUUGUGUUUUUGUGACAAGGUACAAACUUUAAAGAAAUCCUUAAACCAAAAAUUAAGACUCAAUAAAAAAAAUCAAGGCCAACUUCGUUAAUCUAAUAGCUAUCAUAUUGACAGAUUUAUAUGUGUGACAAGUAGGAGAAGAAACAAAAGAACCCAACCAUAUAAUUCCAAAGCCAAAAGAACUUCAAUUAUGACAACUAGAAAUUGAAUUGGUUCAUCUCGAUACAUGGGGAUAACUAAGGGUGGAAAAAAAAUACCGAAUAUCCCAAACCAAACCGAAAAAUUCCCAAAACCAAACCGAAAAUCCCGAAACGUUCGGUACUCAAUACCAAACCAAAUCGAAAUUUUUGGUACGGAAUUGGUUUCAAGUUUUUGGUUUUUCGGUAUUCCCAAACCGAACCGAAAUAAAAAAUAUAUAUAUUAUUUAAUUUUUAAAUAUAUAUUUGAAAUUGUAACAGCCAUCGGAUUCAGUUGAGAUUUAAUCUCAAUCGUUCAAUAGAAAUCAAACCCUACACUUACACUCUAUCUCUCCCGUCUCUCUCGACACUCAGUUCUCACUCACUUUCUCUUGCGGCUCGCCUCAAACUUAAACCCUCACCUCACCACCCUCGUUGCCGAAUUGUCUUUCCGUUUUCGAAUCCUGCCACACAAGUGACUCACCUAAGUCACAUCUCUCUCAACUAUCACCUUUCUAAUCUCUCUCUCAGUCUCUCUCGACUUCUCAUCCCUCACAGAGUCACAGUGGAGAAGCCUUCCUUCACGAAUCACGGCCACCGGCCCCGUUCUUCUUCUCAAUCUCUCAGUCUCUCAGUCUCUCUCGAUUCCAGUUAUCCAGUGUACUGUGCAAUUCUCCUCCAAUUCAGGUAAAGUUCACAAGCUAAUUUAGGGUUGGAAUUCGAGAUUAGGGUUUGUGAAAUUUAGCACUUAGAAGAUCGAGUAGACUGCAUACUGAGGGUUUAGGGGUUGAAUUGGUGAUUGAAAGUCGAGAUUAGGGGUUCCCUUUUGUCACAUACUCACAAUUGAAGCAUAAAUUUGUUACAGGUUGAUAGUUGAUAGUUCAUAGUUGUAGCAAUAAUUGCAGCUGCUGAAAUGAAUUUCGAGAGUUGGAGUAAAUUGAUGAAUUAAGUUCAGAAUUAACCUUGGGAUUUUGGGAUGUUUGUAAUGCAACACCAUAAAUGUAUUUACAGUUUGUUUAGUUGUUCUUUUAUAUAUGAAGAUGUAGUUGUUCUUUUAUAUAUGAAGAUGUAGUUGUUCUUUUAUAUAUGAAGAUGUUGAACUGAUGAACUGUCAAAUACCCACAUAAUUGCACGUCAUUAGGUUAAGGAAUCUUCAAUUGCAAUGCUAGAUCAUAUAUCUUUCCUCAGUUGUUUUGUUGUUAUUUUUGGCCAGGCAAAAUUGGGAGUCUGGUAGAAAACGUCUCUGCCCCAUCGAAUUCAACACUUCACUUCUUUUAAGUGCCUCAUCGAACGUCUCUGCCUAUAUAAACAGUACGGUUGCAACAGUUGCUUUGAUAAUACUAUUUCUUAGUUUUCUUUCUUAAAAACAUUAGUUAGAUAUGAAUAAUAUGAAUUCUCCUUAUGAAUAGAUGGCUCUUUAAUUACGUUUCCUCUUUAUAUAUAUGAAGCUAGUCCUACACUUAAGGAGAAAAGAAAAUUUUCGAUUACAUUUUGUACUGUCCUAGUCCUACUUUAUUAAUGGAAUCCUUGUAAUAGGAAUACACGCCCUUUUCUUUUGAUGUUGUUGGCUACCUUGUGUAUAUAACGUUUGCAAAUUGACACUAGGAGGUCUUUCACUAACAAGUAGGGAGCAACCACAACCAUCAGCAAGAUCAAGGGCCGAAGGGGCCGAAGAUGCCAACAAUCUUCAUAAACUUUGAGCUUUUCAUUUUGCUUUUGGUUUGUAACGUAAUUUAUUUUGAAACUUUGGUUUGUAACUAAUUUUUUUGCUUUUGGGUUUGUUACUUAAUUUAUUUUGAAACCUUGGCUUGUAAUUAAGUAUUUUGCUUUUGGAUUUUUUACUUAAUUUUUUGUUGUUGCAUGCAUGUGUAGUAGAAUAGGCAGAUUAGAUUGGAUAUUGUGAGUAUGGGAUAUGUGCAAGAUUUUGGUUUGAUUUUAUUUCUAUAGAAUAACUUGAUCACUUCCUUCAUUCAUGCUUGGGAACUAUAGAUAUGCAGAUUGGCAGCACACUACACAGCAGCACAAGCAAGUUAUUAUAGCCCAAAAACUGAAAAGCCCAAAAUUAUUUCUGGAUUCUCGAUUUGUCCCGAAAUCCUGAAACUAUUUUGGGAAUCCCGAAAAUUUGGUUUGGGAUUGGUCUUGAAAUUGGGAAUCCCGAAAAUUUCGGUUUUGGAAUCGGCACAAUGUUUUUGGUUUGGUAUCCCAUACCGAACUAGCCCCAGGGCCGGCCCAGGCCCAAUGAUGGCAGGGCAACCGUCCGGAGCUCAAAGUAAUUGGGGGCACCAAAAUUAUUAGGGUAGUAUAUUUAUAUAUGUUUUCAUUAGAGUAUAAAUUUUUAAAAUUUAUGGUUCAAUGACAAAGAAAUUUAACUAGAAUUGGUGGUUUUGUUGUUUGAAUUUAAUGAGAGGUCUUGGGUUCAAAACACCAUGUGUGCUUAUUUACUUUUCAAUUUUUACAAAUUUCUUUUCAUAAGGGUAUAAAUAUAUAAAAUUUGGCUAAAUGAUCAAGAUGUUUAAUUAGAAUCAAUGUUUUUUUUUGUUUAAAAUUAACGAGAAGUCCUAAGUUCGAAAUGCUAAAUGCAUGUUUAUUCUUUUCAAUUUUUACGAAUUUUUGUUUGGUUGUUAAUUUAUUUUUAAUUAGUAGCUAGUAGCUAUGUGGGUUGUUAUUUUUAAACAUUUGUUCCAAUUCAAGUCUAAUAUUCAACGAAGAGUAAUGCGUUGACCAAAUUUUUAGACUAAAUUUUCAAAUUAUAUAACGUGUCAUCAAAAAGUUUAAUUUAAUACGCAUUUAAUACUUAUACAUAUCAAUUAAACACUCAAAAACAUAAUUAUUUUUUUAGUCCCAUAUUGACAAAGUUAGUAAAUAAGAAAAAAAGACCUCACGAUUUAUACAAAAACACUUUAAAAAUUCAGAUUGAAAACAAAACUCAUAUCUAUCUACUUGUAAACCCAGAGUUUUUUUGUUUGUUUCUCACGAUACAAAAUAAAUUAGUUUUUCUGUGUUUCUAAUUUAUUAAGUUUGAAGUGUUUUUCUAAAUAUAAUUUUAUCGAUGUUUUACGUGUGAAAACAAAUAUUUUUCUUAUAUAAAAUGAGGACACAAUUUUUGACGUCAUCCCUGACCUCAAAAAUCUCUAGACCGGCUCUAAGCCCUAGGGAUAACGCACAAAACCGCAACAUAACUAAUUAAGGAACACUCUUUGAAUACAAGUGAUGACCAUCGAGUGUAUGACACUUAAUGUAAAAAUUAAAUAUUUAUUUAAAUUGGUACGGAAAAAUCAACACUAAAGUAUAAUGUGACCUUCAGUGAAUAGAACUUAGGUAAGUUUAGGAGGGAGAAGACUAGAAGAAAAGAUAAGAUCAAUUUAUUAUAUUUUUAUCAUCUAUUUGUACUCUUAUUUAUAAAGUACGAUAAUUGUUUUUUCGUUAAUUUAGUCAUUCCGUUAAAAUUUUCAAUAUUUUUUGUUAGUGUGCUGAAGUGGUCCCAAUAAUCCAAUCUUCAAAUUCUUUUUCAUUUUUGUUAAAUGAUAGAUUUGUUAGAUUAGGUGUUGGAUUAGAGAGAUUUGUUAGUCAAAUUCUAUUUGUUUACGAUAAUUUGAAGAGUAAAAUUUAGGGAACUUUAACGAAAAGCACCCGGUACUGUUCACUUUAACGAAAAACCACAUUUUUACACUAAAAAGUCAAUCCUGUUACUAUUCACUUUACCCUUUAUUUUGUCCUUAUCAUUAAAACUCAAAGUUUUCAAGCCAUUUUCAUUAGUUUUCCUUAAAAUUUAUUAAUCAAAGCUUGCCCACUGGAAUUUAACUUAGAGUGGGCUGCAGAUCCGUAGUAUUGGGCCUGUAAGCCCAUGUAAAUCUUAUCACUCAUCAGAAGAAAAUACAGAAACGUAACCACUGUAUUAGCUCUCCGCCUCCAUCAUCGUCUAAAUUCGCUUCUUUCCCUCUCUCUCCCUGAACAGCAAAAUGGGUAAAGAUCGAAACGGCAGCGUUUCAGAGGGACGAAGUAGGAGCUCGGAGAAAGAGGAGAGACGAAGCAGAAGCUGCGAGAAAGCGGAAGAAACCGAAAGAAAAUCCGAGAAAGCGCGAGAAAUUUCGGAUUCCGAGUCCGGAGAAGACAGGUAGCGCAGUAAAUACAGGAGAAAAGCGCGGGAAAGCUCUGAGUCCGGCGAUGAAAAGCACGUGAAAAGGAGGAGGAGGCCGCGGAGGCGGUACAGUAGCGAGGAGGAUACGGAUUCGGAGUCCGAGUCGGAAUCGGAGGAGAGCGGCUCGGAUUCGGAGUCGGAGUGUGAUAGUGGUAGUGAGAGCGACGGCGACAGGAGACGGAAGAGGAGGAAAAGGAGAGAGAAAGCUGAUGAUAGAGAAAGGAAGAGGAGGAAGAGAGAGAAGGAGAAGGGGAGGAAAAGGAGGAGGAGAGAGAAAGAGGAAGAGAGGAAGAAGAAGGAGAAGAGAAAGAAGAAGAGGAAGGAGAAGAAGGAGAAAGGAAAGGCAGGAGUGGUGACGAAUUCGUGGGGUAAGUAUGGGAUUAUCAGAGAAACUGACAUGUGGUAUGUUUGCUGAAUUUUAUACUGUUUUAGGGUUUUAAGUUUCUGUUUGGCUGCUGAGAAAAUGUAGGAAAAAGAAGUUUACUUCUCCCACUUGAAUUUGAUGAUUACUGUUGUGUAUAGGAACAAACGACCAAAGUUCACAGCAUGGUUACAGGAAGUAAAACAGGUAAUUCCUUUUCCAACUAUUUUACCACCCCAUGAAACCAUUAAUUUGCGUAGUGGUUUAUUUCAGUCGUAAAGUUUCUAAGAUUAUAGAGUUUACCUUUUGAUUUGUAUGUGUUUCGAAGCCGUGUGUUGAUCCGUUUCCAAAUUGCAGUCGUCGAUAGUUCUAAUGGUAAUUGUGUCAUCUUUCAUUAGGUGAACCUGGAACAUCUUGCAAAUUGGGAAGAGAAGCAAAUGUUCAAACAGUUAGUGCGUGUGGAUGUGCGGAUGCAUUUAGUUUAUUUUCUCCCAAAGCAUCUAUAUAAUGAAUUUAACAGGAAUUUGCUAGGUAUUUUCCUUCUAACUUUUGUAUCUUACAAUCUGAGUAGAAAUUUGUUUCCAUUUUAAUAGGUUCAUGGAAGAUCACAAUACAGCCACCUUUCCUUCAAAAAAGUAAGCUUCUAUUCUAUUAGCUUGGGUCAUUUCAAUUUAUUUGUCUGAAAAGAAAAAGUUACAAAGCUUUGUUCUUGCUGUUGUGGUGAGGUUGUGGAACUCACCUUUUAGGUAGAAAUUUUAUCUUAAUGUGCUUAACCACCUGAAUUACGCUAGGCCUAAUGAAAUGAUAUGCUAUUUUAUAUAGAUCUGUCUCGAUAUUUUUGAGCCUGCGGUUGUGGUGUAGACACCUUUCUCUUAGGAUUUAGAGGAGAAUGCAAUGUGUGUUUGAUCUAAUUUUAGUGAAAUAUCCUUCUUGACUGUGUGAUAACUGUGUGAUUGAUCAUAGUGUAUAACCAAUAUACUGUGUGAUUCUUUCAAGUGUUGUUAUCAUAACUGUGUGAUUGAUCAUAGUGUAUAACCAAUAUACUAGACAGCCGUUGUGGUGCCAGAUUUUGAAUCAAUAUCUGUGAUUAGGUUUACUUGUGUCUGAAUGUGCGAUUUUGGCUCACAAUUUGGCAGCAGAACAUGCCUGUUUUGUGUUAAUUAGAGAUGGAAACAAUGGGGAGAUAUUAUCUGAAAUUAAAAAGAAUUGUGUGCUUUGAAUUUUACACGCCUAACCUUUUCUCUGUUGGUUGUAAGGGUUCGUAAGGGUGAGAAUGAUUGUAUGUUCUCACUUUUUCUGUUUUUUUUUUUUACUUGUUAGAUUCAUCUUCAAGUAAUACCACAGAAUGACAAUUAAUUACUUUAACCUUUGUGGUUGCAGGUACUACAGCCUUGAUGAUUAUUACAGGAAUAAGAUGGAAAAGGAAAUUAAAAGAGGUUUUAAGAAGGUUGCGCCAACAGAAUGUAUUGUAUUCAACAAUGAGGAACAGAAAAGGUAUUGUUUUUAUUGCUAUCUGAUUUAAUUUAUGGCCUAGUUUUGGCAAUAUUCAGUUUUAGUACAUUCAUAUGAUUUCCAUUGAUAGCUAACGUGUCAACAAUUCACUCCACAUUUUGUCUAACAACUGUACUAUGUACAAUGACAAAAAUUUAUAUUUCACCUGGCUGUACUUAUUUAAUAGUAUUUUGGAGACAAAAGGAAAUAAUGUUCGGGCAACUUUUUAUAUACAAGAUAGGAGAAACAUAAAACCAUUUUGGAUCUGUUGACAUUCUUGGGUUUGGCUAAUAAUAUUAUAUUAUAUAUUGGUAUUCAGACAAGAAAUGAUGCGAAUGUGUGAAAAGCAAAAGGAAGAAGUAGAGGCUCUGAAGCGCUCUAUGCAGAGUGGACUGGUAAAUUUCUGUUUCGUUACUCAUAUGAAAACAUUCAAUCUGUUGUACAUAAACUCCGUUCCAAGUCGAAGUUGCACUUUGUCAUCCUUCGAUUCCAUUAAAAUUUCCAGGCACAAGCAAUGAAAGAACAAGCUCAACUUCGAGAAGAGAUGGCUUACCAGUACAAGAUUGGAAACAUGGAGGUGAGGAUAAGUAACUGAGCUGUCUUGGUGUAAUCCUUAAAAGUCAUUUCUGGAUUUUUGUUUAUGGUAUUACCCCUCUUAUUUUCAGGCUGCCGCUGCUAUUCAGAGAAGGUUGGACCCUGAUGCUGCUGUGUGAAAAAGGUUCAGUCUAAUUCUAACAUUUAAUUCCAUUAUUCCCCUCGUUAUUCCCCUAGUUUAAGAAUCUUAAGUGCAUACAGAUUCAUAGUUAGACUGAACAACAAAGGGUAGCCUUCUGUAUCUGUUGUCCACUGUAGCCUAAUUGUCAUACAUUCUAGGUGUAAUAUUUCCUGUCGUUCGUUCUCCUGAGCGGUUUAGCCAUUUUUGCAGAUGUAUAGAAAAGGAUGUAUUUUGAUGACUGAUUUCGUAGCAAAUUGAUUGAUCAGGAAAGCCACCCAUCUCUUUUAUGCUUUUGAGAAAAGCCGAUAUUAUCAAGAGACCAUGUAUGCGGGAUCCAUCUGAAUUCGAGAGGUGGUUUUGUGUGUCUAGGUAGCGUUAGUGAAUGAAUAACAACAUAAUGUCUGUUUCAGAAAGGAACAAAUGUUAAAUUUCAGAUACAACAACAACAAAGCCUUUUCCAUUAAGUGGGGUCGUCUGUAUGAAUCAUAGAAUGUCAUUGUGGUCAGUUCUGUGCCACGUUUUCAGUUAGAUCCAAGAACUCCAAGUCUUUUCUUAGGGUCUCUUCCAAAGUCUUCCUAGGUCUUCCUCCCCUUCGGCCCUGAGUGUCUGUCUCGUAAUCGCAUCUUCUAACUAGAGAUCUGUAGACUUUCGUUUCACAUGUUCAAAUCACCGUAACCGAUUUUCUCACAUCUUUCCUUCAAUUUAGACUACUUCUACUUUACCUUGAAUAUCCUCAUUCAUAAUCUUAUCAUUUCUUGUGUACCCACACAUCCAAAUUUCAGAAAUAUUAUCCUGUGUAGAAUAUCUUGUGAAAUAUCACAAAACUUUAGUCGGGAAGAUAGUUGCGUCAGCAACAUAAUGGACUUGUUAUUAUAUUAUUAUUGAAUAAUAAAAAAUAAAAUUACAAUCUUGAUCUCUUCUCGGUAUGUAGCCAGGGCUGUAAGGCAUCGUUUGGUAUGCAGACGGGACGGGACAGGACGGGACGGAAGAGAAAGGGAGUAAAGAUGCCCUUGGAUAGAAACAAGGAGGAAGAAGGAGAUGAAGAGGUUAUAAUUUUGUGUUACACGGAUGUGGAACGAGUCAUUCCAAGGGAUGAGGCGGAACGAGUCAUUCCAAGGGAUGAGGCGGAACGAAAAUUCAUCUAAAAUUCAUUCAGUGGAACAGCGCGUUCCACCCGUUUUAGGCGCACCAAAUGUGGGACGGAACGUCUCGUCCCACUUUGUUCUGUCCCGUUCUAAGGUACCGUUUGGUACGUGGGACGGGACAAAAUGCAGUGGGACGAGGCGUUCUGUCCCACGUUUAGUGUGCCAAAAAACCAUGGAAUGCGUUGUCCCACGGGACGAAAUUUGGCUGAUUUUUCGUUCCGCCUCCCCCUUGCCUCUUGAACGACUCGUUCCACGUUCGUGGAACACAAAAUUUUAAAAUUUUAAGACAAAAAAGCCCCUCAUCUUUUUCAAUAUUUACACCAUCCAAAUCAUAGAACAAAACCCUAUCAUCUUCUUUCCCUCUUGUUUGUCGCUUGCAUCUCCCAGGUAUCUCGCAACCUUCCUCCUCAUCCUCUCAUGUAGCCUUUCUUUUCUCUUCCCCACGGAGUGGAACUUAAAGUUCUGCAUCUCCAGGUUCGAUCUCUGCAUUCAAUUCCAAUCUCAUUUUUUUUUCACAAUAUUAUCUAAUCCUACGCAAUCGAUAAUUUGGUUAUAAUCUGCCACCUUCUCCUUAAAACCUAGGUUUUGCUCUCAAAGUUUUGAUCUUUACAUUUUUCUGCUGUAACUUUUUUCUGGGUUUUGGUUUUUAAGGGGCUUGAAGGUUGAUUUGUUUGCUUUUGAGGUACUUCCUGUUGAUGUCAUUGGAUGAUAUGAUAUAAUGAAUGAUCUAGUUUGGUUUCGAUUCAUAAUCUAGGGUUUUGAAUUGGGAUUAAUUGUUCAAGUAAUUUUUAAUUCUGCCGAUUAUCUGUUUUUUGAGUGUUUAUGUGUAAUUAGCUUCUGUUUAUGGUGCUACGAAACUGCUCAAAUUAAUAAAUCAUUUUAAUUUGAUUUUUGUGUUGUGAUUUGAUUAGGUUUCAGUUUGGUAAUGACUAAUGAGCUUUUGCUUUGUUAGACUAAUGAAAUAGUCUUCAUUUUUUUUGAAAUUUUAAUUCGUUAGACUAAUUGGGUUUUCUUUGUGUGUUUAUUGUGCGAAGUGUUGGAUAAUGUUUGAUUAACUCUGGGAUUUUGUUUCCAUUUUGUUUUUCCUAUGGAAGAGUGAGGGUAUUUACUACUGAUUUGGAAUUGAAGAAGUAAACUUUAAACCUUUACAUGGUGUUGAAUUUCAAACCUCUAGCAUCUGCCAGAAGAAUUUCAUUAUCUUCGACCAGACUGAUCAUCAAAGUCAGAUUAUGUUUAAUCCUGAAAUUGCCCACAAAAUUAUUGGUCCUGCCUUUAACCUCUGUGCAGCUUACAUCCAAGACAAUUUGGGAUUGAUAGCUUGUUGAAAGUUUUCUGGUUUUUAAUUAAUUGGGGUUUUCUAGUGCUUAUUGUAAGGCAUAUGAUGCAUGGGUAAGUUAGUCAUUUAAUUUUUUGGUUUCGUUCUGUCCAGCGCGUACCAAACGCAGAACGGAACAACAGUCCCGUUCUGUCUUGCGCAUACCAAAGAUAACAUGGAACCUUCAUUCCAACGUGUCUUCUCUGCCUACCAAACGGUACCUAAAAGACUCAACCAAACUCGACCCAAACUCGGCACAACCUUGAGUUGUUUCAAGUUGAUUUACAGCUCUAUAUGUAAAAACUAAAAUGAGAAAAACAGAGUCAGAAUUUGAGGAGUCGACAGAUGAGCAUUUUUUUUUUAAUAAGCGGUAUUAUCUAUACUAAGAAGACGAGAAUUAGGUUAAGCCAUAUAAUGAACUAGUAAUAAUAUAAUUCAAAUUCACCUUUGGGGUGCACUCAAUUGGGAUCUUAAGAGAUUUUAAGGGAUUUAUAAAUUUAUGAAUUUUGCUGGAAUUUAUUUAUUUAUUUUUAUCUAUUUGAUGGAGUUUAAUUGAUUUGUAGAGAUUUAUAUAAAUUUUGAUUCAAUUCCCUCGAAAUCUCAGGGGAGAUGUAAGAUUUGUGAAUGCUUAAAAUACACUACAAAAUCUCUCAAAUAACCUCAAAUUCCUCUAAAAUCCUACUUUAAUACAUCGGAUUUUAAGUAUUUUAAUAACUAUCCUAAAAUCCUGAUUGAAUACAUUCAGAUAAUCAUAUAAAAUCGUAAUUAAAUGCCCUUAGAUUCAUUAAAAGAAUUAAAAUGGCUCAAAAUCCCAAUUAAAUACACCCGAUCUCCCCUAAACAUGUUUCUGAAGAUCUCGUCUAGAAAAAAAAAACAAUAAAGAUACAAGGAAAGUGGGGGGGGGGGGGGGGGGGGGGGGAGGGAACAUGAAACCUAACCCGCACUUAAAGGUCUAAACUUGCAAAACUGCAAAACAGAAUAAGUAACAUCACAAGGUUAAGAAAAAAAAAAAGUGAGAUAAACCUGUAUGACGAGAUGCACAUUAAUUUGAGAUGUGAAAACCAGGCAAUCCAACAUAACCUGAAAACAAAGCAGCACGAACUGCCAUUGAAGGGUAAGGUUUAUGUCCUUCCCUUCUUUUAAUGUAUUUUUUAUCCUUUUUUUUUCUUGUAUUAUGAGGGGUUAGGUUUAUAUCUCUCCUGAUUAGGUGUACCAUUUUUUUAAUAUCAAUAAAAUUUCUUUCGUCCCGUCGAGGUUUUAAAAAAUAAGCUUCUGAAGCUCCCGGAUAUUCCAACACUUCUCUAAGCCUCAUCUCUGCAUUUGGUGUUACUUAUUGGACAUGGACUGUAAUUUUUCGUAAGACUUGGGCAUGCGCUAAAAGGAACUCUACCACCGUCAACUCAUAUAACGCCCCUUCGAACCCCCAAAUCUCGAUUUCUUGAAGGCCAAGCACCAAGCAUUUAGGGGUCGAUCCUUCCGGCGUUUUGUACAAUAAUCCUCUAUGGGCACGGAAAUCUUUGCUAAUCUCCUGUCAUUCUUAAGAUGAGGUACUGCAGAUUAGGAGAGCUAUGUAGAAGCAACGCCAAUAUGUUCCAGCUCUCAUUAGUGCAGAAAAUGAGCUCCAAAUGCUUAAGGAAAGGAGACUUUAACCCGAAAUUUCUCAACCGGCCGGAUCCGCAGUGCAAUUUCUUCUACGUUGUCCAGAGUCCCGUGGGAAUAGCUGACAGCCUUGGCAUGUAAAACAUUCAAAAGAAAUGAACAUGGUUAGUACUAAACGCUAUGUAUUAUUUAAAUCAAAUAGUGAUGAACAGUAAUUAUGACUACAUUUUGAAAACUUGGAUCUCAUAUUCAGACAAGAAUCAAUCUAGUCGGUCUUCUAAAUUCAUGGUCCAAACACUUUUAUUCACGGGUUAUCUAAGUGAGUAAUUUUGUAACCCAAUUAACUCAUAUGAAUGUGAAUAACAUAAAGUUAACGAAAAGCAUAGAAGCUUACCCCUUUUGUACCUCCGGACAAUGAUAAGGACUUGACAUUGGAGAGCGCUUGAAGAAGCUCUAAUGCACGAUUUGAGUGAUUUACCUCGAAAUUAAGCUCAAGUUCACCAUAAUCUGCUGAAGUAUUUCUGAUACAAAUCUUUGCGUGAUCAAGAACCUCCAACUCCGCAGCGAUUUUAUACUUGGCCAGGAAGUCAUCUCAGAGCUCAAAGUUUUUAAGGUUCGGGCAAUCAACAUUCAAUCUUUAACCUCUUGAGUGUAUUUGAUUUCACCUUUAAAACCACUUCCCUUUUCUUGUUCAACAAGUCACCCUCUAUGAACAAAAUUUCAAGCACACGGCAGAUGUGGAAAGGCUUUUCGGCAGAACUAAUACCAUCUUCUCUAUAAACCUUUAUCUAGUAGGAAGAUCCGGCCGUAUGUUCCCAUUUAGUGUUAAUACGCGAAGCGAAGUGUUGACAUACAAAAUUUGAGGCAAUAUAUAGCCUGUAUAUUAGGAAACUCCAGCCGUACGUACCCAAUGUUUCAGUUAGAUUAUUCCUAAAUAAUCCGUAACCCUCUUUGUGAUUGUAGCCUAUAUUAUAGGAAUGUAAUUUUCAAUUCUACUAAGUGUAGGAUUCCUAUCUAAAUAAGAUUAAUAUAGCGCUAUAUAUAUUGUGUUAUUUUCACACAUUAAUACAAAAAGUCAGAAUUUACAGUUUCUAGCUCAACCGUGACAAAACCCCUAUAAAUUGACAGUCUUGUGCCAAUAGUGAACACAAAUACAAACUAUUAGAAAUACAUUAAGAAGAAUACUCAUGGGCAUUUCAAACAUGAAGUCAUGCAUCCUCUGUUUGCUCCUCGUUAGCAUGGUGGUGCUAAACUCCCAAGUCAAAGCUGAAAGGAACCGCAUCCACCCCGGAGUCCUCAACCCAUGCAAAAGACCAGGAGGGCCACAUCCUGGUUGUAACGGUGACGUCAAAAGUCCACCCCAACCCGCGAACCCCUAUAACCGCGGUUGCUCGAUGAUUCUUCGGUGUCGCCGUGGUCAUGAUAAGGUUCAUAAUCACAAGGGUUAGUGACGAUGAAGAAACUGAGUUGGGUGGAUGAAGAUUGUGGGAAUACAUUUAAUUAUUUAUGUUGCAACUAUUACCUACUUUGUUUCUAUUCUAUAGUGAGAGUAAGGGUGAUAAAUCUUUUAGGGUAUAUUACUAUUAUGUGUAUUCUAUAACAAAAUAUUGAUCAAAGUAUUUUAAUUUUUUACAUUGCCAGUUAGAUUUUUUUUUUAUAAAUUAUUUAUUACGCUAACCUAAUUACUUAGUCCAAUUGUGCAUGAUCUUUUUUAUUGAGCAAUUAUAUAUUCGAAAUUACCCCAAUAUAUGUCGUUGGGCUAAGGUGGAGGAGGAAAACGGUGGAGGAUGACAUUGAUCAAUUAAGGAUGAAAAUAUGGACUUCUAGAAAGUAGAAACGUAAGGGACCAUUUAAUGAUAAAACCUUAUUACAAAUUCUACUUUUUAUGCGUUUACUAAUUCAUAUGGAAUUAAAAGGGACCAAUCGUGUUCCUCAGUCUGUAGCAAUUCAUUCACCAAAGUUGGAGUACCUCCUUAAACAAUCUCUCAAAAUUAUUGUACGAUGAUCCUCCAACAUCAGUAGCUUCAACAGCUUUUUUCUUCCAUUCCUUUGCCUUUUCCCUCGUCUUUAUCCCUCCUUCACCUUCCAUCAUUUCCUUAACAAGUGCUUCUAUUUCAUUGCGCUUCACAUCGGGGCUCACCUCCAUUCCAAUCUCCCAUGUUGUGCAUGAGUACCGACAAUUUGUUUGUUGCUCCGCGAAGAAAGGCCAGCAAAUUACAGGCACACCGUGAGAUAUACUUUCAAUGGUAGAAUUCCAACCACUGUGUGUUAGGAAAACCCCAACAGAUGGAUGAGCUAACACUUGGUCCUGUGCACACCAACCUGCAAUAUAACCCCUAUCCUUAAUCUCCUCAAAAAAUUCAUCAGGUAAAAUUGGUGAGUUACCCUUUACCACGUCAGCCCUAACUAUCCAUAAAAAUGGGUGCUUGCUAUUUGCCAGCCCCCAUGCAAACUCAAUCAAAUGUUGGUCUGUCAUCAUCGUUAUGCUGCCAUAAUUUACGUACACAACUGAAUUGGGUUUCUUUUUAUCAAGCCAUUCCGAACAUUUUGCGUCUUCUUUCCAUGCUUGAGUUAAGUGACUUGCUUUCAGGGAAAUGCCUGCCUAGCAAAUUAAAGGGGCCAAUGGUGUAAAUGUUGGGAAACAUUAUCGAUAUUACCUCUAACACUUCAUGUUCAAAUUCAUCAAAUGUGUUGAAGAGGAUUGCAGAAGAGUUCAAACAACUUCGUGCUUCGGAUCCCAAGUAAUUAAACAUUAUGUCGCUGAGAUCAGUAACUCUAAUGAAACUCGGGAUGUCCUUGAGUCGAACAUUUUUCAUGCCUGGGAUCCAAUCAAUUGGUGUAUCGAGUGUGCCAUCAUGCAUGAAAUUCUCAUCUGAAAUCCAUGAAAGGUGAAGCAUGUGUGAUGAUAUUUAAUUAUGUCCAUGGUUAUAAGAGUACAUUUCAAGAUCUCAAAUAUCUACUUUAUUUUGCAGUUGAUAAAAAAAAAAAAAUUUAAUAGAAAAGUCUAAUUCCAUAUAACAAAUCCAAAAGAUCAAAAUGCAAAUUUCUCUCUCUUUCACAUCUUUAAUUACAAACGCUUGUAGUGGAACAAAAUUAAACCCCUUGAUAUACUUUGAUGUGAUGUUGGACUAGAUCCAAUGACACAGGAAAGACUAAAAAGUAAAAACUGGGUUAUCUUAUCAUUUGGACAUGCUGGAGUGCUGUGAGAGGGCAAGAGGGGAACAAUGGAAACUAAAGGGUCAAAUAUGUCAUGAUAAUUUAUGUAAACGAGGGAAUAUAUACUUGGAAGGGAUGUGCAUGAUUUAAUUCAUGUGUGUCAUGAUAAUUUAUGCAUACAAAAAUGUUCAUAUACAUAAUAAAGAAACUGAUUAAUUAUAUAUGUGACCAAAGCGUAAAAAAAAAAAAAAAAACAUCCAGAAAUUAAAGAAGUACCUUUGAACGGAAUCAUGCCACGUUUGACGAGUUCGUUAUAUUGCAAGUACCCCAUGAAGCCACAAGCAGAUGCAGUCCAUAACACAACCUCCGGAAUGCCUAAUUCUCUAGCAGCUUUGCACCCAAAGGUCAUGACACCAUCUGCAACUAUGCAAGUAACUUGUGGCACUUGAGAUGAGGAUUUAAUCUUAGCCACCAGCUCUUUAAAUGGACCAAAACAAGUUUUCUUAAUGGAGUCACAUAAAGCUGGAAUAUCUUGGGUACCAUCCUUAACGGAGUCGGGACCUUUUGACCGGAUUAAACGGUUGUGGUUGAACUCGGUGUUGACAAAGGUUAUGUGGAAGCCCCUUGAGUGAAGAAACUUGGCUAACUGCAUCAUGGGGUUAACAUGGCCUUGUGCUGGGUAUGGGACAAAAACUGCAUGCCCUUUUUUGGUUGUUUGUUCUACUGAACUCAUCAUCUCUCUUUCGUAUUUGCC
This 24547-nucleotide long non-coding RNA is filed under the name Malus domestica (apple). RNAcentral describes it as "long non-coding RNA (MDOM_LNC010845)". Lineage: Eukaryota; Viridiplantae; Streptophyta; Magnoliopsida; Rosales; Rosaceae. The record is from RNAcentral.